RNAcentral lists this ribosomal RNA (497 nucleotides) under uncultured bacterium. RNAcentral's name for it is "bacterial SSU rRNA". It matches the Rfam family "Bacterial small subunit ribosomal RNA", at positions 28 to 507 of the family's 1533-position model. The record is from RNAcentral.
GGCUAACGCUGGCGGCGUGCUUAGCCAUGCAAGUCGAGCGGACUUAUGGGGUAACUUAUAAGUCAGCGGCGGACGGCGGAGUAACACGUAGCUAACCUACCCUCUGGACGGGGAUAACCUACCGAAAGGUGGGCUAAUACCCGAUGUAGUCAUCCUGUAUAGGGGUGAUGAAAGGUGGGCUUCUGUUUACAAGCUCAUGCUGGAGGAGGGGGCUGCGGCCUAUCAGGUAGUUGGUAGGGUAAUAGCCUACCAAGCCGAUGACGGGUAGCCGGCCUGAGAGGGUGACCGGCCCGAGGGGCACUGAGAUACGGGUCCCACUCCUACGGGAGGCAGCAGGCUAGAAAUUUGGGCAAUGGGGGAAACCCUGACCCAGUGACGCCGCGUGCAGGAAGGAGCCCUUCGGGGUGUAAACUGCUGUCGUGUAGGGAGAAGGGUACUAAGGUGAACAAUCUUAGUACUUGACGGUACUACAGGAGGAAGCCCAGGCUAACCUCGUG